Molecule: ribosomal RNA, 530 nt
Filed under: uncultured bacterium
Lineage: Bacteria
Description: partial 16S ribosomal RNA
Rfam family: Bacterial small subunit ribosomal RNA
Source: RNAcentral
UGGGGAAUAUUGGACAAUGGGCGAAAGCCUGAUCCAGCCAUGCCGCGUGAGUGAUGAAGGCCCUAGGGUUGUAAAGCUCUUUCACCGGUGAAGAUAAUGACGGUAACCGGAGAAGAAGCCCCGGCUAACUUCGUGCCAGCAGCCGCGGUAAUACGAAGGGGGCUAGCGUUGUUCGGAAUUACUGGGCGUAAAGCGCACGUAGGCGGAUAUUUAAGUCAGGGGUGAAAUCCCGGGGGCUCAACCCCCGGAACUGCCUUUGAUACUGGGUAUCUAGAGUAUGGUAGAGGUGAGUGGAAUUCCGAGUGUAGAGGUGAGAUUUCGUAGAUAUUCGGGGGGAACACCAGUGGCGAAGGGCGGCUCACUGGACCAUUACUGACGCUGAGGUGCGAAAGCGUGGGGAGCAAACAGGAUUAGAUACCCCUGGUAGUCCACGCCGUAAAACGAUGGAAGCUAGCCCGUUGGCAGGUUUACCUGUCGGUGGCGCAGCUAACGCAUUAAGCUUCCCGCCUGGGGAGUACGGUCGCAAGAUU